GUAAUUUUUAGGAGGCUGUACGGCGUCUCUGAGGCACACUGCAGGCACUAUGAACCAGAGCAAAGACUAACGUCGCCUCAUAACAAAGCCGUGACCUCCGAUUUGCUUGGGGCUAUUUCAGCAAGUCCAGCUUUACUGCUGAGAAUGACGACAUUGUUUCUGCCCGUAAGACGUAUUAUGAGUCGGUACGCCGGAGUUUCAGAUACAAACAACCUGAACUCGCAUCGCAGGCGGAAAAUGCGAAAAGUUUAGCUCGUAGUCGAUCCAGAAGAAAAAGGUUGCUGGAAGUGAGACGAAGUGUGCUGGCUGAGGAUGAGUUGGACAUUUGGAAGUGCGCCACCAUAGAUCUCAUAUCUGAUGAGGAAGACGGCAUUGUUGGCGGGGUGUCUAGAUGGAUUGUGCGGCCACCGCCCUCUCGCAGCCUGGAACUCUCCGAGCUCUGUGCCACGCUGCAAUCCAGAUUAGAGGCGAUACCAAAGUACAGGGCAACUCACCAUAUACGCCUGAAAAAGUGACUUUUUAACAACGUUUUUGAUUUUUUUUCAACACUUUGAUCACUUUUUUUUCAACACUUUGAUCACUUUGAAAAAUAUUUUUAGGGAUCUUUCCCGAACGUCUUAGGCCCUUUUUGACGUGUUUGGAGGA
Molecule: long non-coding RNA, 645 nt
Organism: Paramisgurnus dabryanus
Lineage: Eukaryota; Metazoa; Chordata; Actinopteri; Cypriniformes; Cobitidae
Source: RefSeq, a predicted model, not a curated record